This 1910-nucleotide long non-coding RNA is filed under the name Pan troglodytes (chimpanzee). RNAcentral describes it as "long non-coding RNA NONPTRT002682". The stretch from base 946 to 1104 matches the Rfam family "Nuclear enriched abundant transcript 1 conserved region 3". The record is from RNAcentral. Lineage: Eukaryota; Metazoa; Chordata; Mammalia; Primates; Hominidae.
AAAGCAAAAGUUGUGGCCGGUCCAGCAGGAGUUAGCGACAGGGAGGGAUGCGCCCCUGGGUGUAGUUGUGGGGGAGGAAGUGGCUAGCUCAGGGCUUCAGGAGACAGACAGGGAGAGAUGACUGAGUUAGAUGAGACUAGGGGGCGGGCUGGGGGUGCGAGAAGGAAGCUUGGCAAGGAGACUAGGUCUAGGGGGACCACAGUGGGGCAGGCUGCAUGGAAAAUAUCCGCAGGGGCUCCCAGGCAGAACAGCCACGCUCCAGGCCAGGCUGUCCCUACUGCCUGGUGGAGGGGAAACUUGACCUCUGGGAGGGCGCCGCUCUUGCAUGGCUGAGCGAGCCCGGGUGCGCUGGUCUGUGUGGAAGGAGGAAGGCAGGGAGAGGUAGAAGGGGUGGAGGAGUCAGGAGGAAUAGGCCGCAGCAGCCCUGGAAAUGAUCAGGAAGGCAGGCAGUGGGUGCAGGGCUGCAGGAGGGCCGGGCGGGCUAAGCUUCAACUUGUCCAUGCCAGCAGCACCUUUUUUUCCAGACCAAGGGCUGUGAACCCGCCUGGGGAUGAGGCCUGGUCUUGUGGAACUGAACUUAGCUCGACGGGGCUGACCGCUCUGGCCCAGGGUGGUGGCAGUGCUCCUUUUGGACUUUUCUCUAGGUUUGGCGCUAAACUCUUCUUGUGAGCUCACUCCACCCCUUCUUCCUCCCUUUAACUUAUCCAUUCACUUAAAACAUUACCUGGUCAUCUGGUAAGCCCGGGACAGUAGCCGAGUGGCUGUUGGAGUCGGUAUUGUUGGUAAUGGUGGAGGAAGAGAGGCCUUCCCGCUGAGGCUGGGGUGGGGCGGAUCAGUGUUGCUUGCCUGCAGAGAGGGUGGGGAGUGAGUGUGCACCCUUGGGUGGGCCUGCAGCCAUCCAGCUGAAAGUUACAAAAAUGCUUCAUGGACCGUGGUUUGUUACUAUAGUGUUCCUCAUGGCGAGCAGAUGGAACCGGGAGACAUGGAGCCCCUGGCCAGUGUGAGUCCUAGCAGUGCAGGAGGGGAGACCCUGGAGGAGAGAGCCCGCCUCAAUUGAUGCCUGCAGAUUGAAUUUCCAGAGGCUUAGGAGGAGGAAGUUCUCCAAUGUUCUGUUUCCAGGCCUUGCUCAGGAAGCCCUGUAUUCAGGAGGCUACCAUUUAAAGUUUGCAGAUGAGCUUAUGGGGGGCAAUCUUAAAAAGUCCACAGCAGAUGCAUCCGGCUCGAGGGGCCAUCAGCUUUGAAUAAAUGCUUGUUCCAGAGCCCAUGAAUGCCAGCAGGCACCCCUCCUUUCCUGGGGUAAAGGUUUUCAGAUGCCGCAUCUUCUAAAUUGAGCCUCCGGUCAUACUAGUUUUGUGCUUGGAACCUUGCUUCAAGAAGAUCCCUAAGCUGUAGAACAUUUUAACGUUGAUGCCACAACGCAGAUUGAUGCCUUGUAGACGGAGCUUGCAGAUGGAGCCCCGUGACCUCUCACCUACCCACCUGUUUGCCUGCCUUCUUGUGCGUUGCUCGGAGAAGUUCUUAGCCUGAUGAAAUAACUUGGGGCGUUGAAGAGCUGUUUAAUUUUAAAUGCCUUAGACUGGGGAUAUAUUAGAGGAAGCAGAUUGUCAAAUUAAGGGUGUCAUUGUGUUGUGCUAAACUCUGGGAGGGUACAAGUUGGUCAUUCCUAAAUCUGUGUGUGAGAAAUGGCAGGUCUAGUUUGGGCAUUGUGAUUGCACCGCAGAUUACUAGGAGAAGGGAAUGGUGGGUACACCGGUAGUGCUCUUUUGUUCUUGCUUCGUUUUUUUAAACUUGAACUUUACUUCGUUAGAUUCAUAAUACUUUCUUGGCAUUCUAGUAAGAGGACCCCGAGGUGGGAGUUGUGGGGGACGGGAAGAAGGGGACAGCUGGCACUGGUCCCGUGGGCCUUGCAU